Non-coding RNA from Callithrix jacchus (white-tufted-ear marmoset), 411 nucleotides. The record is from RefSeq and is a predicted model, not a curated record. NCBI's taxonomy places the organism in Eukaryota, Metazoa, Chordata, Mammalia, Primates, Cebidae.
CCAGUUAUGCCAAUGGCAGCUGCAGCCCCGACUCCAUUUGUGCUCUGGCCCCAAAUGCCUCAUCUCUCCUGGGAUUCAAGCCAGCGCCCCCAGGUGGAGUCUUGCUCUGCUGCCCAGGCUGGAGUGCAAUGGUGCAGUGCUGUGAUCUCGGCUCACUGCAACCUCUGGCUCCCCAGUUCAAGAGAUUCUCCUGCCUCAGCCUCCUGAAUAGCUGGGAUUACAGGCACCCGCCACCACACCUGGCUAAUUUCCAUAUUUUUAGCAGAGAUGAGGUUUCAACAUGUUGACCAGGCUGGUCUCGAACUCCUGACCUCAAGUAAUCUUCCCACCUCAGCGUCCCAAAGUGCUGGGAUUAUAGGGGUGAGCCACUGGGCCCAGCCAAUAUCACAGCUUUUAAUUUGAAAAGUGGAA